GAGGGUAUAUACUCAGUGGUAGAGUGUGUGCUUAGCAUGCAUAAGGUCCUGGGUUCAAUUCCCAGGACCUUCA
RNAcentral lists this transfer RNA (73 nucleotides) under Camelus dromedarius (Arabian camel). It matches the Rfam family "tRNA". Rfam says of the family: Transfer RNA (tRNA) molecules are approximately 80 nucleotides in length. Their secondary structure includes four short double-helical elements and three loops (D, anti-codon, and T loops). RNAcentral also lists the same sequence under 1 other name. The record is from Rfam by way of RNAcentral. Lineage: Eukaryota; Metazoa; Chordata; Mammalia; Artiodactyla; Camelidae.